Molecule: unclassified non-coding RNA, 226 nt
Filed under: Hevea brasiliensis (rubber tree)
Lineage: Eukaryota; Viridiplantae; Streptophyta; Magnoliopsida; Malpighiales; Euphorbiaceae
Source: RNAcentral
AUGUAUGCUUCUCUUUUCCUUCCAUUCAGAAAAUUCACAUUUAAAGAUAAGAAAUCCAAAAAGAUUCCUGUUGUCAACCAUAUUUUCCGGGAUUCUCUCAAGCGAAAAGUUAGCGAUGCUGAAACAGUUGUUAACGUACAUCAGGCCUUGGAGAAGUUUUUGUCCUUGAUUCCUCUUCUUGUAUCUAAAGAGGAAAUUCAACCCAAUGGACUUGAUUGGGGUGUUG